GGGACACGUGGUAUCCUGUCUGAAUAUGGGGGGACCAUCCUCCAAGGCUAAAUACUCCUGACUGACCGAUAGUGAACCAGUACCGUGAGGGAAAGGCGAAAAGAACCCCGGCGAGGGGAGUGAAAAAGAACCUGAAACCGUGUACGUACAAGCAGUGGGAGCACGCUUAGGCGUGUGACUGCGUACCUUUUGUAUAAUGGGUCAGCGACUUAUAUUCUGUAGCAAGGUUAACCGAAUAGGGGAGCCGAAGGGAAACCGAGUCUUAACUGGGCGUUAAGUUGCAGGGUAUAGACCCGAAACCCGGUGAUCUAGCCAUGGGCAGGUUGAAGGUUGGGUAACACUAACUGGAGGACCGAACCGACUAAUGUUGAAAAAUUAGCGGAUGACUUGUGGCUGGGGGUGAAAGGCCAAUCAAACCGGGAGAUAGCUGGUUCUCCCCGAAAGCUAUUUAGGUAGCGCCUCGUGAAUUCAUCUCCGGGGGUAGAGCACUGUUUCGGCAAGGGGGUCAUCCCGACUUACCAACCCGAUGCAAACUGCGAAUACCGGAGAAUGUUAUCACGGGAGACACACGGCGGGUGCUAACGUCCGUCGUGAAGAGGGAAACAACCCAGACCGCCAGCUAAGGUCCCAAAGUCAUGGUUAAGUGGGAAACGAUGUGGGAAGGCCCAGACAGCCAGGAUGUUGGCUUAGAAGCAGCCAUCAUUUAAAGAAAGCGUAAUAGCUCACUGGUCGAGUCGGCCUGCGCGGAAGAUGUAACGGGGCUAAACCAUGCACCGAAGCUGCGGCAGCGACGCUUAUGCGUUGUUGGGUAGGGGAGCGUUCUGUAAGCCUGCGAAGGUGUGCUGUGAGGCAUGCUGGAGGUAUCAGAAGUGCGAAUGCUGACAUAAGUAAC
Molecule: ribosomal RNA, 892 nt
Filed under: Escherichia coli
Lineage: Bacteria; Pseudomonadati; Pseudomonadota; Gammaproteobacteria; Enterobacterales; Enterobacteriaceae
Description: partial 23S ribosomal RNA
Rfam family: Bacterial large subunit ribosomal RNA
Source: RNAcentral